Molecule: long non-coding RNA, 730 nt
Organism: Mesocricetus auratus (golden hamster)
Lineage: Eukaryota; Metazoa; Chordata; Mammalia; Rodentia; Cricetidae
Exons: 3
Source: RefSeq, a predicted model, not a curated record
UCCUAGAGAGUAAUGUUAUAUAGUAAAAAUGAAGCUAAGACAUUAGAAUCAGGGUGCCUCUUCCUGUACAGGAGACAAGAGAAGGUGUGGGGGGCAGUAAUGCUGGGAAUCAAACAAUCACUACCUUUCUUGAUUCCCACAGGCUCUGUCUCCUGUGGAUAUCAGGAGUUAUCUGCCCUGUCUUGGUCAGUGUACAAGCGAGCUCGGUUAUACACAGCAUCUCCUGAGUCCUAGAGUAUAGCCAGACCCUGACUGGAUAGAAUCAAAUGUUCCUGCUACUGAUGGGGUUGAUGUCUUGGUAUGAAGAAAUUUGUGGAAGCGAGAAGAAACACAUUCGUUGAAAUAAUUUCCUAAUAUAUGGUAAGUAUUUUAUUAAUAGGGUGGAGAUCUCUCUCGACAUUGGUCCUAUAUCCAUUCAUUAUUUUCUUGUAACUAUUUCUGUUAGAGGAAUACAGGACCUCAAAAGCGAGGGUGAGGUCUUCCAUUAGGGAUCAUUAAAAUCUGUCAGGACAUUUUGAGCAAGAUAUCGGCCCUCCCCUAUGCUAACAGAGUAUCCCUGUACAGUAAAUGGGUCCCUGAAUCUGUUCUUGCAAUAGGAACACACACUGGUUCCACUGCGAUUGGCCACAUAGACUACCCAGUGUUCCCAACUGACACCCAUGUUCAUGGGGUCUAUUUUGGUUCUAUGUUGGCUCCCCAGCUUUCACACUGGAUCCCAUGGAUUGCCAGG